UCCCGCAACGAGCGCAACCCUCGUCCUGUGUUGCCAGCGAGUUAUGUCGGGGACUCAUAGGAGACUGCCGGGGUCAACUCGGAGGAAGGUGGGGAUGACGUCAAGUCAUCAUGCCCCUUACGUCUUGGGCUGCACACAUGCUACAAUGGCCGGUACAAAGGGCUGCGAUACCGCGAGGUGGAGCGAAUCCCAAAAAGCCGGUCUCAGUUCGGAUCGGGGUCUGCAACUCGACCCCGUGAAGUCGGAGUCGCUAGUAAUCGCAGAUUCAGCAAUGCUGCCGGUGAAUACGUUCCCGGGCCUUGUACACACCGCCCGUCACGUCACGAAAGUCGGUAACACCCGAAGCCGGUGGCCUAACCCUUGUGGGAGGAGCCGUCGAAGGUGGGACCGGCGAUUGGGACGAAGUCGUAACAAGGUAGCCGUACCGGAAGGUGCGGCUGGAUCACCUCCUUUCUAAGGAGCGUCUGGCUCCGUCCUGCUGCUGGGGGUUUCCCCUGGUGGGGGUGGGGUCCAGGGCCAGGGCCGGGCGAGUGUCCCGGUCUGGUUGCUCGAGGGCGUGGAACGCUGACAUGUGGUUCGCCGGCUGGUGCCGGUCUCUAGUACAG
Molecule: unclassified non-coding RNA, 605 nt
Filed under: uncultured Frankia sp.
Lineage: Bacteria; Bacillati; Actinomycetota; Actinomycetes; Frankiales; Frankiaceae
Description: bacterial SSU rRNA
Rfam family: Bacterial small subunit ribosomal RNA (bases 1-453)
Source: RNAcentral